CCUAGUUAUCAUCAUGAGGUAAGAAUUCAGUACUUUGAUGCAUUGCACCUAGCACAUAUAUAUAUCUUAAUCACGUACUUCAAUGCAGGAAACAGGGACACUGUUUAGUUUCUUUGUGCUUUUUUCCCAGCUAUCGAGUAACCUUUAAUAGUAGAAAUUAAUGGAAAUUCAAUUCAUAUUCAUAGGUUUGUAGUGCUCUCUCAUGGUACAACAAAACUUUUUCUUGGAAAACUAGUACAUGACAAAACAGAAUACUAGUAUUGAGAUUGAUGUUCAUGCACCAUGAGAUUUCAGGUUACAUGGAGGUUUUAUGUAAAGGUUUUAUGUUCAUGCACCAAGGCUUAGGGCUUGUUUGUCACCUCAUCUUAGGGCUUGUUUACUUGCACCAAGGUUUUAUGUUUAGAUUGCACCAAGGUUUUAUGUUCAGAUUGAUGUUCUUGCAUCCACUAUACUUAGGGCUUGUUUGUCACCUCAUCCAAAAGCAAACAUUUAUAUCUUCUAUCAUGUUAUUCAGUGUGCAAUUUUUACGAGUUUGAUCCCUUGUUUUCCAUCCACUGAAUAGGCAUUCUUCGGAUACAUCGGAUCAAAUCCUGCUGGAGGAACCAGAGAGUUGGAAAAUCUCAUGUCUCACAAGAAAUGCUUAUCACCCCAAUGUCAUAUACGCCAAGAUAAGCUGCUGGAAUUUCACCAUUGCCCUUGGAUAUUGCUACAAGGAAAUUACUAGUCAGCAUCCAGUUUGAAGACAUGCAACAAAACAACUCUAGAAGCUAUGGAGCUGGUAGAUUCUGGAGUUGGCAGUGAGGUAGUGAUCCAACUUGGGCUUUGAAGCCAUGGUGCUUUCUCUAGACGGCUAUUAUGUCUGUAGUGUUGUUAGAAUAAUCCUGGUUCUGUGUUUUCAUAACUUCAUCAUGCUUGAAGCAUUAGGGUAGCUCUGGAGCUUUUGUGAAUGAUCUAGCUAGCUAUCUGUAAAUGAUCUAGUUGUGAAUGAUAUUAUAAUUCUGAUGCUUUUGUGAAUAUAUAAUUGUGUUUGUGUA
Molecule: long non-coding RNA, 1034 nt
Filed under: Zea mays
Lineage: Eukaryota; Viridiplantae; Streptophyta; Magnoliopsida; Poales; Poaceae
Description: long non-coding RNA (ZMAY_LNC005409)
Source: RNAcentral